Molecule: long non-coding RNA, 496 nt
Filed under: Sorghum bicolor (sorghum)
Lineage: Eukaryota; Viridiplantae; Streptophyta; Magnoliopsida; Poales; Poaceae
Description: long non-coding RNA (SBIC_LNC001709)
Source: RNAcentral
CGAGGGUUAUGAUGUCAUCAAAUUGCUGGCCUUCUCACGAUAGCAGAUUAAAAGAAUAGAUGAUUCUUGCCAUAUCAUAAUAUUUACACAGAUCUGUAUCACAUCUUGACUGAUUGCUCACCAGGAAACAUAACAGCCGGCAUAGAUGACAUGGUCUUGGUUAACUUGAAGAUGUCGCCGGCUUGAUGGACGUGAACUCGUUCGAUGCGGAAGGGAUUGGCGCUGACUUGCGUCUCGGCAGCUUGUUGGCGUGGAGGGUGCAGCAGCUUUUGGCCUUAGCCUGGAUGUACGGCGUGCGGAGCCUGGAUGCCUGGAAACGAUGGGUGUUUAUGCGUUGAGCCAAAGAGCCUGGCGGCGUGUGCGUCAACGAGCAGGGGCGAUCGAAUCAGAGCCUGGCGGCGUGUGCGUCAAGGAGCAGGGCGAUCGAAUCUGGCAGAGCCCUGGCGACGUGUACGUCAAUACUUAGAGCUAAAAAGGCAGGAACCGAUCAACCCUC